AUUGAACGCUGGCGGCAUGCUUUACACAUGCAAGUCGGACGGCAGCGGGGUAGUGCUUGCACUACUGCCGGCGAGUGGCGAACGGGUGAGUAAUAUAUUGGAACGUACCGAGUAAUGGGGGAUAACCAAUCGAAAGAUUGGCUAAUACCGCAUACGCUCUGAGGAGGAAAGCAGGGGACCUUCGGGCCUUGCGUUAUUCGAGCGGCCAAUAUCUGAUUAGCUAGUUGGUGGGGUAAGGGCCUACCAAGGCGACGAUCAGUAGCGGGUCUGAGAGGAUGAUCCGCCACACUGGGACUGAGACACGGCCCAGACUCCUACGGGAGGCAGCAGUGGGGAAUUUUGGACAAUGGGCGCAAGCCUGAUCCAGCCAUGCCGCGUGUCUGAAGAAGGCCUUCGGGUUGUAAAGGACUUUUGUUAGGGAAGAAAAAGGAGCGGUUAAUACCCGUUUCUGCUGACGGUACCUAAAGAAUAAGCACCGGCGAACUACGU
This 489-nucleotide ribosomal RNA is filed under the name uncultured bacterium. RNAcentral's name for it is "partial 16S ribosomal RNA". It matches the Rfam family "Bacterial small subunit ribosomal RNA", at positions 30 to 506 of the family's 1533-position model. The record is from RNAcentral.